UACAGAGGUCUCGAGCGUUAGGCGGAAUCACUGGGCUUAAAGCGUGUGUAGGCGGAUCGGUAAGUACCUUGUGAAAUCCCACAGCUUAACUUUGGAACUGCUUGGUAUACUGCCAGUCUUGAGCCAGCUAGGGGCUACCGGAACAAAUGGUGGAGCGGUGAAAUGCGUAGAUAUCAUUUGGAACGCCAAUGGUGAAAACAGGUAGCUGGGGCUGUGCUGACGCUGAGACACGAAAGCCAGGGGAGCAAACGGG
Molecule: ribosomal RNA, 253 nt
Filed under: uncultured bacterium
Lineage: Bacteria
Description: partial 16S ribosomal RNA
Rfam family: Bacterial small subunit ribosomal RNA
Source: RNAcentral